UAACACGUAGGGGGCAAGCGUUGUUCGGAAUCAUUGGGCGUAAAGGGUGCGCAGGCGGCUUAGCAAGUCUGGUGUGAAAGGCCUCGGCUCAACCGAGGAAACGCAUUGGAAACUGUUAAGCUAGAGUACAGGAGGGGGAGUUGGAAUUCCAGGUGUAGGGGUGAAAUCUGUAGAUAUCUGGAAGAACACCGGUGGCGAAGGCGAACUCCUGGCCAUGUACUGACGCUGAGGCACGAAGGCGUGGGGAGCAAACAGGUUUAGAUACCCUGGUAGUCCACGCAGUAAACGAUGUACACUAGGUGGUGGGUGGUAGCACUCAGUACCGAAGCUAACGCAUUAAGUGUACCGCCUGGGGAGUAUGCUCGCAAGGGUG
RNAcentral lists this ribosomal RNA (373 nucleotides) under uncultured bacterium. RNAcentral's name for it is "bacterial SSU rRNA". It matches the Rfam family "Bacterial small subunit ribosomal RNA", at positions 521 to 896 of the family's 1533-position model. The record is from RNAcentral.